GGUUAAGCGAAUAAGCGUACACGGUGGAUGCCUAGGCAAUCAGAGGCGAUGAAGGACGUGCUAAUCUGCGAAAAGCGUCGGUAAGGUGAUAUGAACCGUUAUACCCGACGAUAUCCGAAUGGGGAAACCCAGUAUCCAAUGGAUACUAUCAUUAACUGAAUCCAUAGGUUAAUGAGGCGAACCGGGAGAACUGAAACAUCUCAGUACCCCGAGGAAAAGAAAUCAACCGAGAUUCCCCUAGUAGCGGCGAGCGAACGGGGAGCAGCCCAGAGUCUUAAUCAAUAACAGUGUCAGGAGAACGGUCUGGAAAGUCCGGCAGUAAAGGGUGAUAGCCCCGUAUCUGAAGAUGCUGUUAUUGUGAACUCGACGAGUAGGGCGGGACACGUGUUAUCCUGUCUGAAUAUGGGGGGACCAUCCUCCAAGGCUAAAUACUCCUGAUUGACCGAUAGUGAACCAGUACCGUGAGGGAAAGGCGAAAAGAACCCCGGCGAGGGGAGUGAAAAAGAACCUGAAACCGUGUACGUACAAGCAGUAGGAGCCUCUUUAUGGGGUGACUGCGUACCUUUUGUAUAAUGGGUCAGCGACUUAUAUUCUGUAGCAAGGUUAACCGUAUAGGGGAGCCGUAGGGAAACCGAGUCUUAACUGGGCGAAUGAGUUGCAGGGUAUAGACCCGAAACCCGGUGAUCUAUCCAUGGGCAGGUUGAAGGUUGGGUAACACUAACUGGAGGACCGAACCGACUAAUGUUGAAAAAUUAGCGGAUGACUUGUGGAUGGGGGUGAAAGGCCAAUCAAACCGGGAGAUAGCUGGUUCUCCCCGAAAGCUAUUUAGGUAGCGCCUCGUGAACUCAUCUUCGGGGGUAGAGCACUGUUUCGACUAGGGGGUCAUCCCGACUUACCAACUCGAUGCAAACUGCGAAUACCGAAGAAUGUUAUCACGGGAGACACACGGCGGGUGCUAACGUCCGUCGUGAAGAGGGAAACAACCCAGACCGCCAGCUAAGGUCCCAAAGUCAUGGUUAAGUGGGAAACGAAGUGGGAAGGCUCAGACAGCCAGGAUGUUGGCUUAGAAGCAGCCAUCAUUUAAAGAAAGCGUAAUAGCUCACUGGUCGAGUCGGCCCGCGCGGAAGAUGUAACGGGGCUAAACCAUGCACCGAAGCUGCGGCAGCGACACAAAGUGUUGUUGGGUAGGGGAGCGUUCUGUAAGCCUGCGAAGGUGUACUGUGAGGUAUGCUGGAGGUAUCAGAAGUGCGAAUGCUGACAUAAGUAACGAUAAUGCGGGUGAAAAACCCGCACGCCGGAAGACCAAGGGUUCCUGUCCAACGUUAAUCGGGGCAGGGUGAGUCGACCCCUAAGGCGAGGCUGAAAAGCGUAGUCGAUGGGAAACGGGUUAAUAUUCCCGUACUGGUGGUAACUGCGAUGGGGGAACGGAGAAGGCUAGGUUGUCCGGGCGACGGUCGUCCCGGUUCAAGCAGGUAGGCAGAGUGAUUAGGCAAAUCCGGUCACUUAAUGCUGAGAUGUGAUGACGAACCACUAAGGUGGUGAAGCAAUUGAUGCCCCGCUUCCAGGAAAAGCCUCUAAGCUUCAGGUUACCAACAAUCGUACCCCAAACCGACACAGGUGGUCAGGUAGAGAAUACUCAGGCGCUUGAGAGAACUCGGGUGAAGGAACUAGGCAAAAUGGUGCCGUAACUUCGGGAGAAGGCACGCUGGCGGUAGGUAAAGUCCCUCGCGGACGGCGCUGAAGCCAGUCGAAGAUACCAGCUGGCUGCAACUGUUUAUUAAAAACACAGCACUGUGCAAACACGAAAGUGGACGUAUACG
Molecule: ribosomal RNA, 1820 nt
Filed under: Klebsiella pneumoniae subsp. pneumoniae
Lineage: Bacteria; Pseudomonadati; Pseudomonadota; Gammaproteobacteria; Enterobacterales; Enterobacteriaceae
Description: partial 23S ribosomal RNA
Rfam family: Bacterial large subunit ribosomal RNA
Source: RNAcentral